This is an RNA transcript of Salvia splendens (bonfire salvia), 1454 nucleotides long. It is a transcript of the gene named pyrroline-5-carboxylate reductase, with no coding region annotated. The transcript has 9 exons. The record is from RefSeq and is a predicted model, not a curated record. NCBI's taxonomy places the organism in Eukaryota, Viridiplantae, Streptophyta, Magnoliopsida, Lamiales, Lamiaceae.
CUUCACACUCCAUAACUCACCUCAGUCACCCUCUUCCGCCGGAGCUAAAACGCUGGUUGUGGGAGCUCAAAGGCUGUCCAUAGCCCUACAAAAUUAUAAGGGCAUCUAUCUAUUCUUGAUUUCCUUUUUUCUGAGUUGGUUUUGCUGAGAUCAUAGUCAGAAUGGCCAACAUUAUGCCAAUUCCUACUGAAUCGUGCAAGGUUGGUUUCAUUGGAGCUGGGAAAAUGGCAGAGAGCAUUGCCAGAGGUGUUGUCAGUUCAGGGGUUUUGCCGGCUUCCCAAGUCCGGACUGCUCAUCUUGGCGCGAGGCGUACUGUCUUUGAAUCAUUUGGAGUCAAAGUCUAUGAUCAGAAUAGUCAGGUAGUCCAAGAUAGCGAUGUAGUUAUAUUCUCUGUGAAACCUCAAGUUGUGAAAGACGUGGUGAUGCAGUUAAGGCCACUCCUUUCAGAGAAGCAGCUUUUAGUGUCGGUUGUCGCUGGAGUCAAGCUAAAAGAUUUGCAGGAGUGGGCAGGUCACAGCCGAUUCAUUAGGGUAAUGCCCAACACCCCAGCUGCUGUUGGUGUAGCUGCGUCUGUUAUUACUCUAGGGGAUGCAGCAACCAAGGAAGAUGGGGAAUUGAUCAGUAACUUAUUUGGAGCAAUUGGCAAAGUUUGGACAGCUCAGGAGAAGCUGUUUGAUGCUAUUACCGGCCUGAGUGCUAGUGGACCAGCAUACAUCUUCUUGGCGAUUGAAGCUUUAGCCGAUGGAGGCGUGGCUGCCGGUCUACCUCGUGAGCUCUCGCUUGGUCUGGCUUCUCAAAUGCAUCAAUGGCAACAAGCACGGGCAAACACCCCGGCCAGCUCAAAGAUGACGUGGCGUCGCCUGGUGGCACGACCAUAGCCGGGAUUCACGAGCUGGAAAAGGCAGGCUUUCGAGGAAUUCUGAUGAAUGCGGUCGUCGCUGCUGCAAAGCGCAGCCAGGAGCUUUCUAAGAAUUAGGUUUCCUGGUGGCUCCGAUUUGAGUACGAAAAAUGUAUGUGCCGGCAAAGAGCGACUCUCAAAAUCGUUGUCAACGCAAGAAAGGAAUAAAAUGGAAUGUUGUACUUCGUUUGCGAGAGAAAAGGCAAGGUUGGAGGCAUUUUCGGUGGUGUUAUUCGAAGUGUGUGUAUUUUGACUUGGUUGGGCAUAGUCGGCGUGAAGGUGGGGUUAGAGUAAAGGAAGAAGUUGAUUCUGAAGUAUCUCAAAAUCGUUGUGAAGGUGGAAGUAAAGUGAAAGAUUUUAUUUUGGUGUUAUUUGCUGGGUUUUCGUUGUUAGUUUCAUUUGUAGGCAUUAUGGUGAGUUUGAAAAUGUAGGUUUUCACAAGUAGAUCGCAGUGCGUGAGUUUGGGAAAAAAUUUUGGCGAAGAAUUGUAGUGCGUGAACUUGGGGAAAGAUUUGAUGUGUUCAAAGCAAUGUAAUUUGAUUAUAUGUUCUAAGUA